This 1200-nucleotide long non-coding RNA is filed under the name Bos indicus x Bos taurus (hybrid cattle). RNAcentral's name for it is "lncRNA (ENSBIXG00005021945.1)". Lineage: Eukaryota; Metazoa; Chordata; Mammalia; Artiodactyla; Bovidae. The record is from RNAcentral.
GGAAGAAAAAGGUUUCUAAAGAAUUAGGGGCUUGAUUUUUCUGCCAUUUAGUAGACAUUUGAUUUUUAGAUGAAUUGGUUACAAGUUUCUGAAAUCUCUUUCUCAGGAUGUUUGAUCCUGGAAAGUAGAAUAGACUUCAGAAUAUUUCAGUCUCAAGUGUGAAUAGACCCAAAGAUUUUCACCUGUCUCUACAAUAGACAGACAAAUGAUCAGAGAGCUUGUCAAAGUUAAUGAAGUCUCUUCUGGUCCAGAGAUUGUAUAUUACCUAUCAUUAUAACUCUUAUUCUACUAUGAAAAGUGAAAGUGGAAUUCGCUAAGUCAUGUCCAACUCUUUGCAACCCCACGGACUUUAGCCAGCCAGGUUCCUCUGUCCAUGGAAUUCUCUAGACCAGAUUACUAGAGUGGGUAGCCUUUCCCUUCUCCUGGGGAUCUUCCCAACCCAGGGAUCAAAUCCAGGUCUCCCAUGUUGUAGGCAGAUUCUUUACCAUCUGAGCCACCAGGGAAGAUCAAUUAGCUGAUGCUCAGCAAAUCUUGCUGGAAAAAAAACAAAGUUGUGAAUGCAUAGCAUGUUUGGUUAAGGAAUUGUGGUCUCUUAUUUUUAGUUCUCAAAGGAAAAAAACCUGAUUUGUAGCAUUUGCCACUUUCUGUGGUGUAAAUACUGGCAGUCAGGCCACUGGCAAGUUGCCAAUGGUGUAACAGUCAGUCAGUCAGCUCAGUCACUCAGUUGUGUCUGACACUUCGCGACCCCAUGGUCUGCAGCAUGCCAGGCCUCCCUGUCCAUCACCAACUCCUGGAGUUUAUUCAAACUCAUGUCCAUUGAGUCGGUGAUGCCAUCCAACCAUCUCAUCCUCUGUUGUCUCUGUUGUCUCCUCCCAACCAGCUCACAAAGGUUCCAGAAGUUUAUCAGCUGGCUCUUGUGACUGGCAGGAGUCAAGUCCAGCAGACCUGUGCUUGUAGCAGUACAGUCUUGGAUCUCUGUGUUCACAAAGCAGAGCAGGGGACUUCUUCCUACCUGUUGGAGCACUCUCUGCUCUGGUAUUAGAGGGUGGGUCACACUCUAAGGGAAACUCCUGCAGUUUAUAGCAGAGGCCGACUCCUUCCUAUGACCUCAACAGCAAAUGGAGUAGGAAGAAAUGGAAAACUGAAAGAAGCACUAUUAUCUCUAAAGCUAAGGCCAAGUGAGAACGCCCCUAAGGGACA